RNAcentral lists this ribosomal RNA (1420 nucleotides) under Salmonella enterica subsp. enterica serovar Typhimurium. RNAcentral describes it as "partial 23S ribosomal RNA". It matches the Rfam family "Bacterial large subunit ribosomal RNA", at positions 1534 to 2925 of the family's 2925-position model. Lineage: Bacteria; Pseudomonadati; Pseudomonadota; Gammaproteobacteria; Enterobacterales; Enterobacteriaceae. The record is from RNAcentral.
AGGUAAAUCCGGUUCACUUUAACACUGAGGCGUGACGACGAGGCACUACGGUGCUGAAGCAACAAAUGCCCUGCUUCCAGGAAAAGCCUCUAAGCAUCAGGUAACACGAAAUCGUACCCCAAACCGACACAGGUGGUCAGGUAGAGAAUACCAAGGCGCUUGAGAGAACUCGGGUGAAGGAACUAGGCAAAAUGGUGCCGUAACUUCGGGAGAAGGCACGCUGACACGUAGGUGAAGUGAUUUACUCAUGGAGCUGAAGUCAGUCGAAGAUACCAGCUGGCUGCAACUGUUUAUUAAAAACACAGCACUGUGCAAACACGAAAGUGGACGUAUACGGUGUGACGCCUGCCCGGUGCCGGAAGGUUAAUUGAUGGGGUCAGCGCAAGCGAAGCUCCUGAUCGAAGCCCCGGUAAACGGCGGCCGUAACUAUAACGGUCCUAAGGUAGCGAAAUUCCUUGUCGGGUAAGUUCCGACCUGCACGAAUGGCGUAAUGAUGGCCAGGCUGUCUCCACCCGAGACUCAGUGAAAUUGAACUCGCUGUGAAGAUGCAGUGUACCCGCGGCAAGACGGAAAGACCCCGUGAACCUUUACUAUAGCUUGACACUGAACAUUGAGCCUUGAUGUGUAGGAUAGGUGGGAGGCUUUGAAGUGUGGACGCCAGUCUGCAUGGAGCCGACCUUGAAAUACCACCCUUUAAUGUUUGAUGUUCUAACGUGGACCCGUAAUCCGGGUUGCGGACAGUGUCUGGUGGGUAGUUUGACUGGGGCGGUCUCCUCCUAAAGAGUAACGGAGGAGCACGAAGGUUGGCUAAUCCUGGUCGGACAUCAGGAGGUUAGUGCAAUGGCAUAAGCCAGCUUGACUGCGAGCGUGACGGCGCGAGCAGGUGCGAAAGCAGGUCAUAGUGAUCCGGUGGUUCUGAAUGGAAGGGCCAUCGCUCAACGGAUAAAAGGUACUCCGGGGAUAACAGGCUGAUACCGCCCAAGAGUUCAUAUCGACGGCGGUGUUUGGCACCUCGAUGUCGGCUCAUCACAUCCUGGGGCUGAAGUAGGUCCCAAGGGUAUGGCUGUUCGCCAUUUAAAGUGGUACGCGAGCUGGGUUUAGAACGUCGUGAGACAGUUCGGUCCCUAUCUGCCGUGGGCGCUGGAGAACUGAGGGGGGCUGCUCCUAGUACGAGAGGACCGGAGUGGACGCAUCACUGGUGUUCGGGUUGUCAUGCCAAUGGCACUGCCCGGUAGCUAAAUGCGGAAGAGAUAAGUGCUGAAAGCAUCUAAGCACGAAACUUGCCCCGAGAUGAGUUCUCCCUGAGACUUAGAGUCUCCUGAAGGAACGUUGAAGACGACGACGUUGAUAGGCCGGGUGUGUAAGCGCAGCGAUGCGUUGAGCUAACCGGUACUAAUGAACCGUGAGGCUUAACCUUACA